GAUGAACGCUGGCGGCGUGCCUAAUACAUGCAAGUAGAACGCUGAAGGAGGAGCUUGCUCUUCUGGAUGAGUUGCGAACGGGUGAGUAACGCGUAGGUAACCUGCCUGGUAGCGGGGGAUAACUAUUGGAAACGAUAGCUAAUACCGCAUGACAACAGUUAUUGCAUGAUAACUGUUUAAAAGGGGCAACUGCUCCACUACCAGAUGGACCUGCGUUGUAUUAGCUAGUUGGUGAGGUAACGGCUCACCAAGGCGACGAUACAUAGCCGACCUGAGAGGGGGAUCGGCCACACUGGGACUGGGACACGGCCCAGGCUCCUACGGGAGGCAGCAGUAGGGAAUCUUCGGAAAUGGACGGAAGUCUGGCCGAGCAACGCCGCGUGAGUGAAGAAGGUUUUCGGAUCGUAAAGCUCUGUUGUAAGAGAAGAACGAGUGUGAGAGUGGAAAGUUCACACUGUGACGGUACCUUACCAGAAAGGGACGGCUAACUACGUG
This 495-nucleotide ribosomal RNA is filed under the name uncultured bacterium. Its description in RNAcentral is "partial 16S ribosomal RNA". It matches the Rfam family "Bacterial small subunit ribosomal RNA", at positions 28 to 507 of the family's 1533-position model. The record is from RNAcentral.